RNAcentral lists this ribosomal RNA (440 nucleotides) under uncultured bacterium. RNAcentral's name for it is "partial 16S ribosomal RNA". It matches the Rfam family "Bacterial small subunit ribosomal RNA", at positions 338 to 795 of the family's 1533-position model. The record is from RNAcentral.
CCUACGGGGGGCAGCAGUAGGGAAUAUUGCUCAAUGGGGGAAACCCUGAAGCAGCAACGCCGCGUGGAGGAUGAAGGUUUUCGGAUUGUAAACUCCUUUUGUUAGAGAAGAUAAUGACGGUAUCUAACGAAUAAGCACCGGCUAACUCCGUGCCAGCAGCCGCGGUAAUACGGAGGGUGCAAGCGUUACACGGAAUCACUGGGCGUAAAGGGCGCGUAGGCGGGAUAGCAAGUCAGAUGUGAAAUCCUAUGGCUUAACCGUAAAACUGCAUUUGAAACUGUUAGUCUAGAGUAUGGGAGAGGUAGGUGGAAUUCUUGGUGUAGAGGUAAAAUCCGUAGAGAUCAAGAAGAAUACUCAUUGCGAAGGCGACCUGCUAGAACGUAACUGACGCUGAUGCGCGAAAGCGUGGGGAGCAAACAGGAUUAGAUACCCCAGUAGUC